This 200-nucleotide ribosomal RNA is filed under the name uncultured bacterium. Its description in RNAcentral is "partial 16S ribosomal RNA". It matches the Rfam family "Bacterial small subunit ribosomal RNA", at positions 328 to 539 of the family's 1533-position model. The record is from RNAcentral.
ACGCUCGACACCUACGGGAGGCAGCAGUGGGGAAUAUUGCACAAUGGGGGAAACCCUGAUGCAGCAACGCCGCGUGAAGGAAGACGGUUUUCGGAUUGUAAACUUCUGUUCUUUUAGNGAAGAUAGUGACGGUAGCUAAGGAGCAAGCCACGGCUAACUACGUGCCGGCAGCAGCGGUAAUCUGAGCGGGCUGGCAAGGC